CACGGAGUUAGCCGAUCCUUAUUCCUUCGGUACAUUCAGCUACUUACACGUAAGUAGGUUUAUUCCCGAAUAAAAGCAGUUUACAACCCAGAGGGCCGUCUUCCUGCACGCGGCAUGGCUGGUUCAGAGUUGCCUCCAUUGACCAAUAUUCCUUACUGCUGCCUCCCGUAGGAGUCUGGUCCGUGUCUCAGUACCAGUGUGGGGGGUCAUCCUCUCAGAUCCCCUAGUCAUCGUGGUCUUGGUGGGCCGUUACCCCGCCAACUAACUAAUGACACGCAUGCCCAUCUUUAUCCUAUAAAUAUUUGAUCAUUGUACGAUGCCGUACUGUGAUUUUAUGCGGUGUUAAUCCGAAUUUCUUCGGGCUAUCCCCCAGAUAAAGGUAGGUUGCAUACGCGUUACGCACCCGUGCGCCGGUCUCAAGGAAAGCAAGCUCUCCUCUACCCCUCGACUUGCAUGUAUUAGGCCUGCCGCUAGCGUUCAUCCUGAGCCAGGAUCAAACUC
This 501-nucleotide ribosomal RNA is filed under the name uncultured Pedobacter sp. Its description in RNAcentral is "partial 16S ribosomal RNA". Lineage: Bacteria; Pseudomonadati; Bacteroidota; Sphingobacteriia; Sphingobacteriales; Sphingobacteriaceae. The record is from RNAcentral.